AUUGAACGCUGGCGGCAGGCCUAACACAUGCAAGUCGAGCGGAUGAAGGGAGCUUGCUCCUGGAUUCAGCGGCGGACGGGUGAGUAAUGCCUAGGAAUCUGCCUGGUAGUGGGGGAUAACGUCCGGAAACGGGCGCUAAUACCGCAUACGUCCUGAUGGAGAAAGUGGGGGAUCUUCGGACCUCACGCUUUCAUAUGAGCCUAGGUCGGAUUAGCUAGUUGGUGGGGUAAAGGCCUACCAAGGCGACGAUCCGUAACUGGUCUGAGAGGAUGAUCAGUCACACUGGAACUGAGACACGGUCCAGACUCCUACGGGAGGCAGCAGUGGGGAAUAUUGGACAAUGGGCGAAAGCCUGAUCCAGCCAUGCGGCGUGUGUGAAGAAGGUCUUCGGAUUGUAAAGCACUUUAAGUUGGGGGGAAGGGCAGUAAGUUAAUACCUUGCUGUUUUGACGUUACCAACAGAAUAAGCACCGGCUAACUUCGUG
This 484-nucleotide ribosomal RNA is filed under the name uncultured bacterium. RNAcentral describes it as "partial 16S ribosomal RNA". It matches the Rfam family "Bacterial small subunit ribosomal RNA", at positions 30 to 507 of the family's 1533-position model. The record is from RNAcentral.